Molecule: ribosomal RNA, 2905 nt
Filed under: Salmonella enterica
Lineage: Bacteria; Pseudomonadati; Pseudomonadota; Gammaproteobacteria; Enterobacterales; Enterobacteriaceae
Description: bacterial LSU rRNA
Rfam family: Bacterial large subunit ribosomal RNA
Source: RNAcentral
UUAAGCGACCAAGCGUACACGGUGGAUGCCCUGGCAGUCAGAGGCGAUGAAGGACGUGCUAAUCUGCGAUAAGCGCCGGUAAGGUGAUAUGAACCGUUAUAACCGGCGAUUUCCGAAUGGGGAAACCCAGUGUGAUUCGUCACACUAUCAUUAACUGAAUCCAUAGGUUAAUGAGGCGAACCGGGGGAACUGAAACAUCUAAGUACCCCGAGGAAAAGAAAUCAACCGAGAUUCCCCCAGUAGCGGCGAGCGAACGGGGAGGAGCCCAGAGCCUGAAUCAGCAUGUGUGUUAGUGGAAGCGUCUGGAAAGGCGCGCGAUACAGGGUGACAGCCCCGUACACAAAAGCGCACAUGCUGUGAGCUCGAUGAGUAGGGCGGGACACGUGGUAUCCUGUCUGAAUAUGGGGGGACCAUCCUCCAAGGCUAAAUACUCCUGACUGACCGAUAGUGAACCAGUACCGUGAGGGAAAGGCGAAAAGAACCCCGGCGAGGGGAGUGAAACAGAACCUGAAACCGUGUACGUACAAGCAGUGGGAGCACAGGUUUACCUGUGUGACUGCGUACCUUUUGUAUAAUGGGUCAGCGACUUAUAUUCUGUAGCAAGGUUAACCGCAUAGGGGAGCCGAAGGGAAACCGAGUCUUAACCGGGCGUUAAGUUGCAGGGUAUAGACCCGAAACCCGGUGAUCUAGCCAUGGGCAGGUUGAAGGUUGGGUAACACUAACUGGAGGACCGAACCGACUAAUGUUGAAAAAUUAGCGGAUGACCUGUGGCUGGGGGUGAAAGGCCAAUCAAACCGGGAGAUAGCUGGUUCUCCCCGAAAGCUAUUUAGGUAGCGCCUCGUGAAUUCAUCUCCGGGGGUAGAGCACUGUUUCGGCUAGGGGGCCAUCCCGGCUUACCAACCCGAUGCAAACUGCGAAUACCGGAGAAUGUUAUCACGGGAGACACACGGCGGGUGCUAACGUCCGUCGUGAAGAGGGAAACAACCCAGACCGCCAGCUAAGGUCCCAAAGUCAUGGUUAAGUGGGAAACGAUGUGGGAAGGCCCAGACAGCCAGGAUGUUGGCUUAGAAGCAGCCAUCAUUUAAAGAAAGCGUAAUAGCUCACUGGUCGAGUCGGCCUGCGCGGAAGAUGUAACGGGGCUAAACCAUGCACCGAAGCUGCGGCAGCGACACUGUGUGUUGUUGGGUAGGGGAGCGUUCUGUAAGCCGUUGAAGGUGUGUCGUGAGGCAUGCUGGAGGUAUCAGAAGUGCGAAUGCUGACAUAAGUAACGAUAAAGCGGGUGAAAAGCCCGCUCGCCGGAAGACCAAGGGUUCCUGUCCAACGUUAAUCGGGGCAGGGUGAGUCGACCCCUAAGGCGAGGCCGAAAGGCGUAGUCGAUGGGAAACGGGUUAAUAUUCCCGUACUUGGUGUUACUGCGAAGGGGGGACGGAGAAGGCUAUGUUGGCCGGGCGACGGUUGUCCCGGUUUAAGCGUGUAGGUGUGUGUUCCAGGUAAAUCCGGUUCACUUUAACACUGAGGCGUGACGACGAGGCACUACGGUGCUGAAGCAACAAAUGCCCUGCUUCCAGGAAAAGCCUCUAAGCAUCAGGUAACAUCAAAUCGUACCCCAAACCGACACAGGUGGUCAGGUAGAGAAUACCAAGGCGCUUGAGAGAACUCGGGUGAAGGAACUAGGCAAAAUGGUGCCGUAACUUCGGGAGAAGGCACGCUGACACGUAGGUGAAGUGGUUUACCCAUGGAGCUGAAGUCAGUCGAAGAUACCAGCUGGCUGCAACUGUUUAUUAAAAACACAGCACUGUGCAAACACGAAAGUGGACGUAUACGGUGUGACGCCUGCCCGGUGCCGGAAGGUUAAUUGAUGGGGUCAGCGCAAGCGAAGCUCCUGAUCGAAGCCCCGGUAAACGGCGGCCGUAACUAUAACGGUCCUAAGGUAGCGAAAUUCCUUGUCGGGUAAGUUCCGACCUGCACGAAUGGCGUAAUGAUGGCCAGGCUGUCUCCACCCGAGACUCAGUGAAAUUGAACUCGCUGUGAAGAUGCAGUGUACCCGCGGCAAGACGGAAAGACCCCGUGAACCUUUACUAUAGCUUGACACUGAACAUUGAGCCUUGAUGUGUAGGAUAGGUGGGAGGCUUUGAAGCGUGGACGCCAGUCUGCGUGGAGCCAACCUUGAAAUACCACCCUUUAAUGUUUGAUGUUCUAACGUGGACCCGUGAUCCGGGUUGCGGACAGUGUCUGGUGGGUAGUUUGACUGGGGCGGUCUCCUCCUAAAGAGUAACGGAGGAGCACGAAGGUUGGCUAAUCCUGGUCGGACAUCAGGAGGUUAGUGCAAUGGCAUAAGCCAGCUUGACUGCGAGCGUGACGGCGCGAGCAGGUGCGAAAGCAGGUCAUAGUGAUCCGGUGGUUCUGAAUGGAAGGGCCAUCGCUCAACGGAUAAAAGGUACUCCGGGGAUAACAGGCUGAUACCGCCCAAGAGUUCAUAUCGACGGCGGUGUUUGGCACCUCGAUGUCGGCUCAUCACAUCCUGGGGCUGAAGUAGGUCCCAAGGGUAUGGCUGUUCGCCAUUUAAAGUGGUACGCGAGCUGGGUUUAGAACGUCGUGAGACAGUUCGGUCCCUAUCUGCCGUGGGCGCUGGAGAACUGAGGGGGGCUGCUCCUAGUACGAGAGGACCGGAGUGGACGCAUCACUGGUGUUCGGGUUGUCAUGCCAAUGGCACUGCCCGGUAGCUAAAUGCGGAAGAGAUAAGUGCUGAAAGCAUCUAAGCACGAAACUUGCCCCGAGAUGAGUUCUCCCUGAGACUUAGAGUCUCCUGAAGGAACGUUGAAGACGACGACGUUGAUAGGCCGGGUGUGUAAGCGCAGCGAUGCGUUGAGCUAACCGGUACUAAUGAACCGUGAGGCUUAACCUU